CUCGUAGGCGGCCAACUAAGUCGGACGUGAAAUCCCCAGGCUCAACCUGGGAACUGCGUCUGAUACUGGAUGGCUUGAAUCCGGGAGAGGGAUGCAGAAUUCCAGGUGUAGCGGUGAAAUGCGUAGAUAUCUGGAGGAAUACCGGUGGCGAAGGCGGCAUCCUGGACCGGCAUUGACGCUGAGGAGCGAAAGCCAGGGAGCGAACG
RNAcentral lists this ribosomal RNA (206 nucleotides) under uncultured bacterium. Its description in RNAcentral is "partial 16S ribosomal RNA". It matches the Rfam family "Bacterial small subunit ribosomal RNA", at positions 568 to 774 of the family's 1533-position model. The record is from RNAcentral.